Molecule: ribosomal RNA, 250 nt
Filed under: uncultured bacterium
Lineage: Bacteria
Description: partial 16S ribosomal RNA
Rfam family: Bacterial small subunit ribosomal RNA
Source: RNAcentral
UACGGAGGGUGCAAGCGUUAUCCGGAUUCACUGGGUUUAAAGGGUGCGUAGGUGGAUCGAUAAGUCAGUGGUGAAAGCCCCGAGCUCAACUUGGGAAUUGCCAUUGAUACUGUUGAUCUUGAGUGCGGUUGAGGUAGACGGAAUAUGUCAUGUAGCGGUGAAAUGCUUAGAUAUGACAUAGAACACCAAUUGCGAAGGCAGUUUACCAAGCCGAUACUGACACUGAGGCACGAAAGCGUGGGGAUCAAAC